GGACGAAUGGGCGCGGGGCGGGGAGGAGGGUCUGUCAGGGUGGCAUUUUCAGCUUGCAACCUGCCACGCAGAUUCUCCCGGGCUAGAGGGGAGGGGGUGUGCGGGGAGGGCGGGGAAGCCUCGUCUCUCGGCGCGUUCAUUCUCCCAUCCCCGGUCUUUUCCCGCUUCUCUCCGCGCUCACCUGUUUAUUUCCAUCACCCAGAGCGUGCAGUUUUUUAUGCAGGCAUGAGAGGCUGUUUCUUUUAUUAGAAACGUUAUUGGGGAAGGGGGUGCGUUGCUGUAAUUUAUGCCAGUCCAGGUCGGUUUUCAAGAAGGGGGAGGGGACUUGGCGGAGACCGCCUGCUCUUGGCCGCAGCUGACCCCCGGGCUUCUCCGGCCCAGGAUCACUCUGCUACCCGCACGCCAGCUGCCAGCUUCUUGGAGAAGGACCACACCUGUGCUUAUUCCUGCUUUGGAAGAGAGGUGAGCUGAGAAACCAGGGAAUCCUCUGUUCCCCAGAGCUCUUAGCUGACCCCCAUCCCAGAAUUGGCCAGAAAGUGCCCCUUUCACCUGCUGAUUGCAGUGGACCCGCCCUUCCCUUCACCCUGGCAAGUUGUGAUCUACAGAUGUGUUGGGAUUUCUCUUUCCCCUGGACAUGCACCCCGCCAGCCAGCAACUAGCUGCUGGGUUUAGAUGGAAAGAGCGCGGUGACCCCCUUCCGUCCAGUGCGCGUUCUUUUUCCCCCACGGGGUCUUCUGUUGGAAUCGUCUGCUCUCCCCACAGCCCCCUUCGUUCUUCCCUUAAGAGCUUAGCCUAGAAUCAGGCCUAAGGAGCCCGUCUCUGGCUCUCUUCCGUGGGCCCCACCCUGGCCCCUCUUGGUUCUCAAGAGCCAAACACGCCUCCCAGGCAGAAGGCACACCCAGCCCCAAAUCUAACCAUUGCAGAAGGGAGGAGGAAACAGUAGAAGAGAAGGGACCCAAGGGUCUCCUUUCUGUCCUGAAUAUCCCCAACAGCAUUUCUCUCUUCAAGCCUGCUAGCGUUAUAAUCCCUUUAUUCUUACCAGCUGUCCCUCCCAUCCUCUUGGCCCCUAGUGCUGUGAUAGAUAUUUGGGGAGGUGGGGCUGAGGGGUAGAGAAAGAGGUUGUCACCCUUCUUCCCUAGAGUGAGGCAUUUUCCUUCUCUUCAUCUUUUCAUUUUCGAGAUGCUUAACAAGUGAAAUAUGUAAAUAUGUUUGCAUGCUCACUUGAACUUGUUUUCUUGCUGGCUGAUGUAUAGCUGGGACUCAAGAGGGGGAGAGGAGAAAGAGACAGAAGUGAACAUUCCCCCUGGUUUUCCCGGUAUGGGCAUCCCCAGAGUUGCUGGAGAAGACCCUUCUGUAAAAGCCAGCAGUCUCCCUUCCAUGACAUCACCACCUAAGCCCUUCCAACUUUAGCUUCAGAACAGGAAGAAGGCUCAAAAUAGAACCACCUUAGGAAUCCAGCUCCUUCAGAAGAUCAACUUUUCAAUCAGCGGCUGGAGGAACACAGAACUUGGACGGGGGGGAGAGAAAGCUGUAGUGUUUGCAUUCGAAAGGUUGUCAGUGAUUCUUGCCCACCAUAACUGUUGAAUCAACAAACUAUAGUGAAAACCCCGUGCAGGUGUGCUACAUACGUCAUCAUCAUCAGUGUCAUCAGUUUGAGUACAUUCUUAGCACUCAGAGCAAGAACAGUAAGUCAUUUUUUUGCUAAUGUGCAUUUCUUCUUAAAGUGUAAAACCCCCACUAGUUUCUGCUGCAUGAUCUGAGAUACUGAGAAAACUAAAAAUCUUAAGCAACAAAUAGAUGUUUUUAGAAAUCUACGUUUGCGUAAACAUGUAAAUUGAGUAUCCAGUUGAUGGCGUUGCAUGGCCAAGUUGGGGUAAAGGAAAAAAGCACUGGGCUCAGUCAUUGAUGUGGAUUUGAGCCCAGGUCUGCCUGGGUAGAGUGUGAUGUCAGAUAAAUCACCCAACCUCUCUUGGGUUUUUAUUUUCUGUCUAUAAAAUGGGCUAAUGAUAUCUAACCUAUUUCUAGAUUCCUUUUUUGCUGAAUCAAUGAAUAAUUUAUUGGCAGUUCCAUAGGAUUCUUGUGGAGACCAAAUAAGAAAGCACAUAGAAGAUUAUUGAAUGUUAGGCAGAUGUGAAGUAUCAUUGCCAUGUUUGAUCAGGAGCACUUUGAGGACAGGGACGGUGUCUUAUUUGUCUUUAUUUCCUGAUUCUGUGGAAGAGGUCUUGGCGCAUAGUAGUCCCUCAGUAAAUAUUUAUUGCAUGAGUGAUUGAGGUCAAGGAGAUAGCGAAUCCAUGCAUGGACGAGAUGCACUGUGAAACACAGCUGGGAAGCUUACUGCAUGUCGGGCGUAUUAUCAGAGUAAAAGCCUCAGCAUCCUCAUUAGUAUGUAUAAAGCGUGUGUUCAGUUUUCAUCCUAAUAUAAUUCUGCUGGGCCUUUUAAUAUUUCAGCCUCACCACUUGCUGGGCUGUGACCCUACUUUUUCUUCUGCUUCCUGACAUCCCGAACCAGAAGGGGAUCUGUUAGUCCUUCACUUCAUGGGGAGCCUUCAGAGGGAGUCGUGCAGCUGCCCGGAAAGGAUGCCUCCGGCCGACACAGUGACUGACAGGCUGCCCUGGCUCAGUUAUCACAGUGCUGAUGCUGUCAGUUCUAAAGGUACAGUACUGUGAUAACUGAAGGAUGGCAGCCAUCUUGCCUUCCGUCACGGGAGCCCCAUGGUGCUGGGAAAGAAGACAGAGAUGAAAGACGCGUGUGAAAUGGGGUUGGGCCCUCCUACCCUGUUCCCAUAUUGUGUCUCCCUAGAGCACAGGGAAUGUCAUACCACCUGUCUGCCUUAUUUUGUAACAUGGGUCAAGAGGAGUUGGCUAGUUGUUCGCACGGCAAAGUGAAGACUGUUGUACUGAGCAGGCAUACAUUAAGAUCUUGGGAACUUCUAAGAGACUGACAUCAGAUGAGUAAUAAGUGUGAAUUAGUAUUUCUCGAGUGGUAUUCAGAGAAAUGUGUGCCAUUUUUAUAAAUGUAAAAGGUAACCUGAUUAGAACAGCUUGACACUUGUCAAUAUUACAUGUUCAAAAUUAAAUUCAACUUAAAUGGGGAGGAAUAAAGGCCUACAUGUUGAACAGUACUGAUAUUAUUUCGUGAAUAAAAUUACAUUUUUGUGUUUUAAGGAA
Molecule: long non-coding RNA, 3168 nt
Organism: Diceros bicornis minor
Lineage: Eukaryota; Metazoa; Chordata; Mammalia; Perissodactyla; Rhinocerotidae
Exons: 2
Source: RefSeq, a predicted model, not a curated record